GCUGCUCGAGCGGCCGCCAGUGUGAUGGAUAUCUGCAGAAUUCGCCCUUGGAGCGUGUGGUUUAAUUCGACGCGUACGCGAAGAACCUUACCAGGGCUUGACAUGACCACCGAUACUCUAGAGAUAGGGUAGCCCUUCGGGGGGUGGCCACAGGUGUUGCAUGGCUGUCGUCAGCUCGUGCCGUGAGGUGUUGGGUUAAGUCCCGCAACGAGCGCAACCCUCGUCGCUAGUUAGGCUGUCUAGCGAGACUGCCGGANGCAAACCGGAGGAAGGCGGGGAUGACGUCAAGUCAGCAUGGCCCUUACGUCCUGGGCUACACACACGCUACAAUGGCCGGUACAGCGGGUAGCANGAACGCGAGUUGGAGCUAAUC
RNAcentral lists this ribosomal RNA (373 nucleotides) under uncultured bacterium. Its description in RNAcentral is "bacterial SSU rRNA". The stretch from base 49 to 373 matches the Rfam family "Bacterial small subunit ribosomal RNA", at positions 933 to 1273 of the family's 1533-position model. The record is from RNAcentral.